CGCAUCAUGGCCGGCGGGGGGUGGGUCGCGACCUUCGAGGACGUGACGGAGCGUCGGCGCAACGAAGCGCGGAUCAUCCACAUGGCGCGCC
This 91-nucleotide transfer RNA is filed under the name Methylobacterium haplocladii. RNAcentral's name for it is "tRNA-Arg". Lineage: Bacteria; Pseudomonadati; Pseudomonadota; Alphaproteobacteria; Hyphomicrobiales; Methylobacteriaceae. The record is from RNAcentral.